RNAcentral lists this ribosomal RNA (310 nucleotides) under uncultured eukaryote. Its description in RNAcentral is "partial large subunit ribosomal RNA". It matches the Rfam family "Eukaryotic large subunit ribosomal RNA", at positions 40 to 350 of the family's 3401-position model. The record is from RNAcentral.
AUAUCAAUAAGCGGAGGAAAAGAAAACAAUUGUGAUACCCCUAGUAACGGCGAGUGAAGAGGGUACAGCCCAACUUUGAAAUCUGGCGCUUUCAGCGUCCGAGUUGUAGUCUCGAGAAGCGUGACCCGCAGAGUCCCUCACCAGAUCGGUUCGGAUACCGAGUCAUAGAGGGUAACAAUCCCGUUGGGUCUGGGUACCGAGCAUAGCGGUCCGCUCUCUAAGAGUCGAGUUGUUUGGGAAUGCAGCUCUAAUCCGGUGGUAAAUUCCAUCUAAGGCUAAAUAUUGGCGAGAGACCGAUAGCGCACAAGUA